GUAAACUCCGGGACGACGAGAGGGGUAAUGGAGAGGGGGAAAGGUUUGGUCGGAAGGACUGGGCGUAAAGGGCGCGUAGGCGGCCUGGUAAGGCGAACGGGAAAUCCCCGGGCUCAACCCGGGAACUGGGUCCGAUACUGGCAGGCUUGAAUCCGGGGGAGGGAGGCGGAAUUGCAGGUGUAGCGGUGAAAUGCGUAGAUAUCUGGGGGAACACCGGUGGCGAAGGCGGCAUCCUGGACCGGUAUUGACGCUGAGGCGCGAAAGCCAGGGGAGCAAACGGGAUUAGAUACCCGAGUAGUC
RNAcentral lists this ribosomal RNA (300 nucleotides) under uncultured Sulfophobococcus sp. RNAcentral describes it as "bacterial SSU rRNA". It matches the Rfam family "Bacterial small subunit ribosomal RNA", at positions 496 to 795 of the family's 1533-position model. Lineage: Archaea; Thermoproteati; Thermoproteota; Thermoprotei; Desulfurococcales; Desulfurococcaceae. The record is from RNAcentral.